GUCACUCCCCCAACCCCUUUUUGAAUCUCUCUCGAUUCGUCUGUAAAGGGAAACAUGGAAAGACUAUUCUUGAUCAAACAGCUGCAAGCACUGUCUCACUCAUUUUGCUCUUGCUGAUGAUAUCAUUUCCAAGAUAUGCAGCAAUGUUGGGUGCAUCACCUACAAGUAGAAUCAGUUUGAAACCGGUAAUCUUUAAUCCUUCAGUUGAUCUUCUUCUGAGUUAUAAGAAAAGCUUUGAGAUUGAAAUCUAAAAUGUUGACAAGUAGAUAUCAUGGACUAAUUACACAUAGCAGAAUUGCAGAAAGCAGGCAGUCAUACAACUUGUGGUGGAUAGCUACCAUCAUUAACGGAGUAGGAAAAAAAAGAUAACAUUUUCAAAUAUCACUGUUAUGAGAGACC
Long non-coding RNA from Lotus japonicus, 399 nucleotides. RefSeq lists it as uncharacterized. NCBI's taxonomy places the organism in Eukaryota, Viridiplantae, Streptophyta, Magnoliopsida, Fabales, Fabaceae. The record is from RefSeq and is a predicted model, not a curated record. The transcript is spliced from 3 exons.